AUUGAACGCUGGCGGCAUGCUUUACACAUGCAAGUCGAACGGUAACAGGCCGCAAGGUGCUGACGAGUGGCGAACGGGUGAGUAAUGUAUCGGAACGUGCCCAGUCGUGGGGGAUAACUACUCGAAAGAGUAGCUAAUACCCCAUACGAUCUAUGGAUGAAAGCGGGGGACCGUAAGGCCUCGCGCGAUUUGAGCGGCCGAUGUGAGAUUAGGUAGUUGGUGGGGUAAAGGCUCACCAAGCCAACGAUCUGUAGCUGGUCUGAGAGGACGACCAGCCACACUGGGACUGAGACACGGCCCAGACUCCUACGGGAGGCAGCAGUGGGGAAUUUUGGACAAUGGGCGCAAGCCUGAUCCAGCAAUGCCGCGUGCAGGAAGAAGGCCUUCGGGUUGUAAACUGCUUUUGUACGGAACGAAACGGCUCUGGUUAAUACCCGGGGCUAAUGACGGUACCGUAAGAAUAAGCACCGGCUAACUACGUG
This 482-nucleotide ribosomal RNA is filed under the name uncultured bacterium. RNAcentral describes it as "partial 16S ribosomal RNA". It matches the Rfam family "Bacterial small subunit ribosomal RNA", at positions 30 to 507 of the family's 1533-position model. The record is from RNAcentral.